UACAGGGGGGGCAAGCGUUGUUCGGAAUUACUGGGCGUAAAGGGCUCGUAGGCGGCCAACUAAGUCACACGUGAAAUCCCCAGGCUCAACCUGGGAACUGCGUGUGAUACUGGAUGGCUUGAAUUCGGGAGAGGGAUGCGGAAUUCCAGGUGUAGCGGUGAAAUGCGUAGAUAUCUGGAGGAACACCGGUGGCGAAGGCGGCAUCCUGGACCGGCAUUGACGCUGAGGAGCGAAAGCCAGGGGAGCAAACGGG
Molecule: ribosomal RNA, 253 nt
Filed under: uncultured bacterium
Lineage: Bacteria
Description: partial 16S ribosomal RNA
Rfam family: Bacterial small subunit ribosomal RNA
Source: RNAcentral